Sarcophilus harrisii (Tasmanian devil) is the source of this 90-nucleotide small nuclear RNA. The record is from Ensembl. Lineage: Eukaryota; Metazoa; Chordata; Mammalia; Dasyuromorphia; Dasyuridae.
AUGCUCAUCGACAGCAUAUAACCUAAAACUGAAAUGAUACAGAGAUUAGCAUAGCUCCUGUCCAAGGAUAUCUCUCCUUUCUUUCUUUCU